RNAcentral lists this ribosomal RNA (207 nucleotides) under uncultured Methylotenera sp. Its description in RNAcentral is "partial 16S ribosomal RNA". It matches the Rfam family "Bacterial small subunit ribosomal RNA", at positions 324 to 523 of the family's 1533-position model. The record is from RNAcentral. Lineage: Bacteria; Pseudomonadati; Pseudomonadota; Betaproteobacteria; Nitrosomonadales; Methylophilaceae.
GGUCGACGAUUACUCCUACGGGAGGCAGCAGUGGGGAAUUUUGGACAAUGGGGGCAACCCUGAUCCAGCCAUUCCGCGUGAGUGAAGAAGGCCUUCGGGUUGUAAAGCUCUUUCGCAAGGGAAGAAAACUCGAUCUCUAAUAUAGGUUGAGGCUGACGGUACCUUGAUAAGAAGCACCGGCUAACUACGUGCCAGCAGCCGCGGUAA